RNAcentral lists this ribosomal RNA (427 nucleotides) under uncultured Rhodocyclaceae bacterium. Its description in RNAcentral is "partial 16S ribosomal RNA". It matches the Rfam family "Bacterial small subunit ribosomal RNA", at positions 355 to 774 of the family's 1533-position model. Lineage: Bacteria; Pseudomonadati; Pseudomonadota; Betaproteobacteria; Rhodocyclales; Rhodocyclaceae. The record is from RNAcentral.
UGGGGAAUUUUGGACAAUGGGCGAAAGCCUGAUCCAGCCAUGCCGCGUGAGUGAAGAAGGCCUUCGGGUUGUAAAGCUCUUUCAGCCGGGAAAAAAUCGCAUGGGCUAAUACCCUGUGUGGAUGAUGGUACCGGAAUAAGAAGCACCGGCUAACUACGUGCCAGCAGCCGCGGUAAUACGUAGGGUGCGAGCGUUAAUCGGAAUUACUGGGCGUAAAGCGUGCGCAGGCGGUUUAGUAAGACAGGCGUGAAAUCCCCGGGCUUAACCUGGGAACUGCGCUUGUGACUGCUAAGCUAGAGUACGGCAGAGGGGGGUGGAAUUCCACGUGUAGCAGUGAAAUGCGUAGAGAUGUGGAGGAACACCGAUGGCGAAGGCAGCCCCCUGGGCCGAUACUGACGCUCAUGCACGAAAGCGUGGGGAGCAAACA